RNAcentral lists this transfer RNA (71 nucleotides) under Natrialba sp. SSL1. Its description in RNAcentral is "tRNA-Asp". It matches the Rfam family "tRNA". Rfam says of the family: Transfer RNA (tRNA) molecules are approximately 80 nucleotides in length. Their secondary structure includes four short double-helical elements and three loops (D, anti-codon, and T loops). Further hydrogen bonds mediate the characteristic L-shaped molecular structure. tRNAs have two regions of fundamental functional importance: the anti-codon, which is responsible for specific mRNA codon recognition, and the 3' end, to which the tRNAs corresponding amino acid is attached (by aminoacyl-tRNA synthetases). tRNAs cope with the degeneracy of the genetic code in two manners: having more than one tRNA (with a specific anti-codon) for a particular amino acid; and 'wobble' base-pairing, i.e. permitting non-standard base-pairing at the 3rd anti-codon position. Lineage: Archaea; Methanobacteriati; Methanobacteriota; Halobacteria; Halobacteriales; Natrialbaceae. The record is from RNAcentral.
GCCGACAUGGUGUCCGGCGAGCAUACGGCCCUGUCACGGCCGUGAUCCGGGUUCGAAUCCCGGCGUCGGCG